Molecule: transfer RNA, 75 nt
Filed under: Ktedonobacteraceae bacterium
Lineage: Bacteria; Bacillati; Chloroflexota; Ktedonobacteria; Ktedonobacterales; Ktedonobacteraceae
Description: tRNA-Leu
Rfam family: tRNA
About the family: Transfer RNA (tRNA) molecules are approximately 80 nucleotides in length. Their secondary structure includes four short double-helical elements and three loops (D, anti-codon, and T loops).
Source: RNAcentral
GGUGGCGUGGCGCAAAUGGCAGACGCGUGCAGCUUAAGUCUGCAAUGACUGAGGGUUCAAAUCCCUCCGCCACUA